Macaca mulatta (Rhesus monkey) is the source of this 1957-nucleotide non-coding RNA. NCBI's taxonomy places the organism in Eukaryota, Metazoa, Chordata, Mammalia, Primates, Cercopithecidae. The record is from RefSeq and is a predicted model, not a curated record.
CUUUCUGAGGCAUAAGCAGGCACAUGUCACCUGCAAAGAGGGAAGGGGUGGGUACUUGUGAGGAGUACAGCAUUGCCUUGCUUGGUCUGGACAUGCAUUUGGAAGAGUAGGGAGAUCAUUUAAGUCUCUAAGGAGACCCCCAAAUGGAAAGUUGCCCAGGUCUUUCUCAACUCCAAGAGUUCCCAGACAGGGAGAAUGGUGUGCUCCAUUUCACAAUGUUGGUAACUUACAAAACUGGAAUUCACACCUAAAUGUGUCAAGCUCCAGAGCCUAGACACAUUCUGCUGUUCAAUGUGGCUAAAUGGCAAGGAAAAGUCAUCCUGAGCAUGGGAUCCUGUACAAAUCAUCCUAAGCACAACCAUCUUCCCAGUGGGCCUCACUCCACAUGGCACCACAGCUAGGUGCCCCAGCCUGUCACGGGAUAGAGGCUGCACUCUGUCUGAUGCCCAUGUGUUUCCAAAGCAAAGGGGGACUCAGGCCUCUCUCCCUUGACCCCUCUGGGGCACAUCAGGGAGGGGCUGGCAGAUUGCUGAGGACCAUGAAUGGCAGGGUGGUGGGCCUUAGUGGCCCCAGAGCUUGCCCCAGGCUGUCCUGACAUCCACCACUCUCUGCAGGAAGGCCAAGAUGUCACUGGAGUGGCUAGGGGGCAGCACAGGGAUGAGUGUGUGUGUUGUGGGGGGGGUAAGGUGUGAGUGCGCCUGUGAGGGUAUACAUGAGGAGACUCCACAGAGGUGGCAGGAUGGGUCUGGGAGAGAAAGGAUAGGAGGAGACACUGAGGCAGUCGGUCUGCUCAGAGAGGCAGCAGUGCUGACCAGGGGGCUGUACAUGUCUCCGGCCCUAUUCUCUAAUGACCUCAGGACAGUAGCUGUCGCAUGUGGGGGUGACUGGACAGGAGGACCCCACCACCAGCAGCAAAAUCAUAACACCUGCCUUCAUCCCACCACAUUCUUCUUCAUUGACCUCCAAGGGCUCUACAGCUGCACAUGAGUGGAUAAAUGCCAAUUCCCCAGCUUGGAACCCAAGGAGUCAUGAGUCAGAACCAUCCAAUCCUCAGCUGUAUAAGAGGAUAAUAAUGCUGAAUUCGAGUCAUUGUGGGAAAUUGACUGAAACAAAUGAGCAACAUCUAACAGUGCUGAAGAGCAUCAUGGGCUUUCUCCUCCCUUCUUCCCUCUGGCACUGGUAUCUUCCCACUUGUCCUCCCAAGGCUUUGCCCGGUAAGGCUCUGUCCCAGGCUGUCUGCCCUUAUCCCCAUCUCUGAGGCACACCUCUUCUCACAGUAUGGCCCCAGAGAUGAGCCCAGCCCACCUGGCUGACCCUUUCCCUGUGUGCAGACUUCCCCAACCAGACCCCCAGGAUAACCACAGUGGGCCACCCUCUCCCCAACACCCUCCCUUCACUCCUGCACCUCUUCCUUGGUACUCUGCUUCUGCUUUUGCCAAGUGUUCUCACCUGAGGUGGACAGGUCUCUCUGUGCCACCCUCCUAUGAGCUCAUGAGGAGGGUGGGCCAAAGGUCAGGCUUAAUCUGCCUGCUCCUCCCCAGCCAGCACCACUCUGCAAACUUGGAAGGUCCCUAAGGAGCAGCUGCUCUACUUCUGCUGCCCAGAAGGGGCAUCCACCUGAAGAACGUGUGUGAUGGAUUGCCCUGCAGGUAACAGGGCUGCUCAGAGUCAGAUGCCUCUGGAGGUGUCUCCCACCUGGGGGAUGACCACCCCAUGGCCCUGUCACAGUGCACGUGCCCAAGCACCAGCUCCCCGCCUACCUUCCUGAUGCCUUCUGAAGGACUGGACACACAGUUGUCAGCCCCUCCGUUCUUGCUGAUGGUCCGCCAGAGUUCGGCAAACGUGCUGUCCUGCUCCAGAGGGUUGGUGCCCUUGGCUCGGAAGUACUCAUAUACAGCAGAAUCCCGGACGGUGCCAUAAGACAUCUCCACUUGUUUGGACAAGUCCUGGAAAGUCC